AAGAUGGCGAGUCAGAUACUGUGGAUGUGCUACCCCCUUGCCCUCCAGAAUCACCAGUAGAGGAAAAAACAGAAGAAACCAAAACUGUAGACCCAGAUAAGAGGACAGUAACUUGCAGCAAGUGUAAGGAACCAGGACAUAAUAAAGCUUCAUGCAAGGCCACCUUAUAGGCUCUUUGCUUUGCAUCUUGUACAGCUCUUAUAGUUACAUGUUAGUGACUUGUGAUGUAUUGCUCAUCGU
RNAcentral lists this long non-coding RNA (240 nucleotides) under Solanum pimpinellifolium. RNAcentral describes it as "long non-coding RNA (SPIM_LNC000160)". Lineage: Eukaryota; Viridiplantae; Streptophyta; Magnoliopsida; Solanales; Solanaceae. The record is from RNAcentral.